AGUAACACUUAUUUCCAGUGUUGACCUGACUGCAAAAUAUAGGACUUCAUGAAACUGUGAGAAGAGCAGCCUUCUAAGAUAUUGAAAGAUGGGACUCUUUAUAUGACAUCUCUGAAAUACCUCAAGUACCACUCCAGUUCUCUUCGCCGAGCAGAUCAAAGAGGACUUGAGCCAAGACCCACUGAAAGCAGUGGAAUAUAUCAGGAGAGCUGCCGGAAGGGACUCUGUCGUGUAUGCCUCGGGACCUGUCCAGCCUGGCAUCUUAGCUCAGACCGUUGGCAGAGGUGGGUUUGAACCAAGACAUCUGACCUCGUGCUGGAGCUCCYGUAGCUCAGGCACGUAUUCCCUUCYGCUGACUCCGCAGUUGCGGUCGUGUCCUCCAGGACAGCCAUGGAACAGGCAUGGGCAGUAGUUUCUUAGACUGUUGCACCAAAUCGCUAGAGCUCAUCUUCCGGUUUAUUAAAUAUUAAUUAGAUACACACA
Molecule: long non-coding RNA, 483 nt
Filed under: Dromaius novaehollandiae (emu)
Lineage: Eukaryota; Metazoa; Chordata; Aves; Casuariiformes; Dromaiidae
Description: lncRNA (ENSDNVG00000004239.1)
Source: RNAcentral